UACGUAGGUGGCAAGCGUUGUCCGGAUUUACUGGGCGUAAAGCGCACGUAGGCGGCUUUGUAAGUUAGAGGUGAAAGCCCAGGGCUCAACCCUGGAAUUGCCUUUAAGACUGCAUCGCUAGAAUUGUGGAGAGGUAAGUGGAAUUCCGAGUGUAGAGGUGAAAUUCGUAGAUAUUCGGAAGAACACCAGUGGCGAAGGCGACUUACUGGACACAUAUUGACGCUGAGGUGCGAAAGCGUGGGGAGCAAACAGG
RNAcentral lists this ribosomal RNA (253 nucleotides) under uncultured bacterium. RNAcentral's name for it is "partial 16S ribosomal RNA". It matches the Rfam family "Bacterial small subunit ribosomal RNA", at positions 524 to 776 of the family's 1533-position model. The record is from RNAcentral.